ACAAAGAAAAGGAGGGGAGGAAGACAGAGAACACACACACACACAUGCUUAUACAGGCAUACACACAAGUGCGUGGGAUGCACAUGUGUACCUGAGCAUGUGGAGGUCAGAGAUUCCCCAUUUGCCAUCCUAAUUUUUUCAGGCAGACUAGUCUCUCCUGGAAUGCAAAGCUUACUAAUUCAACUAGACAGGCUAGCCAUAAGCUCUAGGAAUCCUCCUGCCUCUGACGUUAGAGACUGGCAUCCCCAUAUCCAUCUCACAUGGGUCCUGGGGAUCUGAUCUGAGGUCCUCAUACAUACAUAGCAGGUGCUUUCCCAACUGUGCCAUCUCACCAUUUCUGAGCUGUCAUCGAAAUACCUAUAGCCUAUAGGAACAAUGUAAGGGGGAGAUUAAUUUCUGGUCACUGUUCAAGAGAUUUCACCGCAGAUACUUGGCUCUGCUGAUUCUGGGCCUGUGGUUGGGAUUUGCCUGAUGAGAUAUCAUCUCCUCCCAGAGUCUCCCCUGCUCCUCUUCUGAGUCGGGACUACACAUACAUACACACACACACACACACACACACACACACACACACACACACACACACAGCAGCAGCAGCAGCAGCAGCAGCAGCAGCAGUCUCCCUCCCAGCACAGUGCCUCUCCUUUCUGGCUCUCCUAUUAGUGAUGUGUUUUUCCUUGUUUCCAAGUUUAAUGCCUUGUUCUGUUCUAUAGUUGUAAGCUUCUCAGGGGCUACAAGAACACAGCCUCUUUCUUCUUUCCUCUGCCCCUUCCUCUCUCACUCUUCUCCUGUCUCCCUUACCCCUCCUCCCCCCUGCUUUUCUUCCUGUUGUACAGUCAUUGCCCUUCCUUAGCACCUAGCAAGUGCAGGUUGCACAGUCAGUCCUUUGUAUGUGCAUUUUGAAUAAAUGAAUGAGUAGAAUGAUGAAUCUUGCUCAUAUCAUUUCUUCAUUGAAACUUGCCACUCCUGAUAGGAGCCCACUGUGUCCAUGGGUGGACCACAUCUCCCUACUCCUUCACAGUCCCUGCCUCUCUCUUCAGACUCUGUCACUUCCAAUAUCAUCUCUGUGGCUCAUUGGCCAGCACAGUCUGGCUAACACGUGGCUACUUCAGGCCUUCUUCAGAUGGCCCUUCUUUGGGAAUGCCUCUCUAUUGCUCCCGCUACCUGGUUGGUUCUUUCCCUCCAUGCUUCUCUUCCAGCCUCCCUUGAUCUCCAAUAAAUGUCAACUCUCCUUCCUACUUUAGUGCAUCUCAGUUCUGAUCCUCCAAGCUCAAGGAUUGGCACCCGGGUGGACCACUAAAAACAAUUUGGCAGGAAUCCCAGCAUAGACCAUGCCCCCACUCGAGUUUCUUCGGCUGUGAAAUGGGCUCAUCAGAGCACCUCAUGUGGGUGUCAUGGCAACAGAAUGAGCCACCUGCAAAACACUAAGAAAGAUGAGUGAAAUGUUUAAGUGCCAUGACAAUGACAAUUAUUCCUCAUGACUGGGUUGUCAAAGCCAGAUCCAUAACACACGCUCAGUGACUGAAUGAGGCAGAUUGGGAACACCAAUCCCUGCACUUGCCCAACAUCACCAAUUGUCCUCAUUUCGAUUCCAGAAGGCUCUAAGUGGCAAUCCCUAUGGCUACGAGCCUUGUUUAUAUCUGUCAAUGGCCAGACUUCUAGAGAAGAGAUGCUUUAUUUCUCUGAGUCACUUAAUAAACACCAAGGACUUGGCAGUGUUUAGCAGUUAAUUAGGAGUGAUGUAUACUCCUUUCCUGGAAGUCAAAGCGCAUAAAACCCAGCCCCCACCAAAACGGAACCUGAACUUUAAAUCAAGUCCCUCAAAUUAAAUGCAAAUAAUAUUCAUAAUUGUUGCCUCGUUUUGUCAUUUUAAGAAUUCCUUGACAAUGAAAUGUAAAAGGUGGUCACAUGAACCGCAGAGGUUGCGCUCCAGGCUUGUAUAUCUUCAUGUUCGUCAUCGCAGCGAAUGUGUAAUUGAAAUGACGUGCUUCUGCCUCCUGAUCCAGCUCCAAAGAUGGAAAUGCAGACUGCUUCAAAACAGCUAAAGAACAAACAAACAAACAAAACAAGCAGUCACAGAAAGAGCCACUUGCAAAAAAAACUCGUCUGUUUAUUCAUUUUUAAAUAAUAAUAUAACAUGAACAGCCAACCUCUCAGAAGCCUGAGUUUCUAUCUAUGACUUACAAGAGCCUUGGCAUUCUAUUGGACAAGUACUUUGAUGAUAUCCUGAGUAACAGAGCCCAAAGCAGUGGUUAAAGGGCCUCUGUCACUGCUCAUACUCACUCUGAGGACAUAUAACCAGGUCACUAUGCACACUAGAGAACCCAGACUUGCCUCAGGAGUGCCUCCGGUCGCCUGUUUACUACCAUACUUCCAGCCACAUAGAAAUGAGUCAUCGCCUAGAUCUUUGGUGUCAGUUUUCCCAUCUAUACAAUGGGGGCAUUAGCUCCAAGCGUGGACGCCAUGAUAAGAUACAUGACACUUAAGAAGGCUUCAUGUCAGUGUAAGUGCCCGACAGAUGAACAGUCCUUUGAGGGGGGCGUGAGGGUGAUUAUAGGCAAGAUGGAGAAGAAGACUCAGAGACAAAAGUUAGAAAUCGGAAGGGCUCUCCAGUGAAUACUGUGGCAGCUCCGAGUUUAAUUCUCAUAGGUUUUAUAUGCUUUGCAGUAUCAUGGGAAACAAAGUCACAGGCUAGCAGAGACAAUGGCUGACAUACAUUGGAUAUCUGUUCCCAUCUGUUCCUAUCCCUGUUCCUUUCUCCAAGAUUAACAGAACAUCUAGCUCCUUGCCUUGAGCUUCAAGUGCGUUCCCUCUUAUCCUUUCCAAGUAAUGUGCCAGCAGACCCUGGCCUGCCUUGAUUCUGCCUUGAUUCACAGAAGCAGGCAAAAUGGCUCCUAACAUUUCUUGUCUCCCAAGUACCCAGUAAAUACUGUCACUUAUUUAACCUCUCCUUAGUAGGCUUCUCAAAACCUGCUUUAAUACAUAUACUUAAAUGCUUUAACAGGUAGUGGGAAGGACAGGUUGACAGGGCAAAGAGUGGAGGAUGUGGACUUGUUUAGAAGCAGUUCUUUGGGAUGAAUUAAAUCUGCAUUGUCAGGAUAUCAGCAGUUCAGUUCAUGCAAAUCAGCAGCGGUAGUAAUGAGCGAGAUCCACUUGCAAACACCACUUGUGAAUCAGCAACAGCAGUUCCAUCCAGAAGAAACCUCGAGAGGCUCUGCUGAUUGGCCCCAGUCUGUAGAAGUGGUAAGAAGCCACCACCAGAAGUUCUUUGGUAUGUUUUUCCUCUACAAAGUCAGGACAAAUGAUGAUCAGAAAUAGUGGCAAGGCAAACCAAUACCACACACCAUCAUCCAUUGGCUGUCAGGUUAUAUUUAUACCCUUUCCAAAUAUCACAUGUUCUCUCAAGCAUCUCCUCUACCAGAGCAUCACAUGCUGCUCUUUUUCCCCGGCCGCUUCCAGAAAACCACCAUGUGUCUGUUCUCCACGAAACAUCCUCCCACGUGUCUGCUUACACAAAAACAUGCUCUCAUAACAUAGCUUCCAGAGAAACAGCACAUGACACAACUGAGUCUCCAAGGAGACCCAAAACUUCUAUUUCACUCCCUAGGUUUCCUAAUCACAUAUUCUAGGCAAAAAGACUCUGCACAGUUGUUUUGUAGGUAAACUUUAACCUGCUUCAACCCUGAGGCAUUCAUAUGCACCCUGUCCAUUUGGGACCCCCUCCACCAGCUCAUGUCUAAGGCAUCUGUAUGCGGGUGAUUUGUGUUGAUUUCUACAAAGAGUUCAGACUCUAUCUGCUCCUCUUCUGUUGUCUGGAUAAAGUACCAAGACCAAGGCAACUUACCGGAAAAAGGAGUUUAUUUUGGCUUACAGUUACAGAGGGGAUCCAUGGUAGCAAACAGCAGGCCUACCAGCAGGAGCAUGAAGCCAACAGUCCACAUGCAAAGGCAAGCUGGAAGCAGAGAAAGCAGGCUGGAGCAGGUUUUUACUCUCAAAGCUCACUCCCAGUUCAUACUUUCACCACCUAAGCCUCCUGGAACAGCACCACCUACUGGAAAUCAGGUGGUUCAAGUGCCCCACUCAGACUGUAGGAGACCUUUCUCAUUCAAAUCACCAACCACAUAGAUGCUAUUAACAGGAAAGUGGUUGGUUAAGUGAAAUGAUUAGCUUAGCCCAAGACCUCUUCACACUGGUCAGGAAUGAUGCAGAUUCUGUAGAGCUAGUCAAUUAGGUCAAGUUCUCUUGCAUAAAAUAUGUUUAUAAAUAUCCCCAUGGAGGACCAGGGUAUGCAUUUACUGUGACCGGAAAGAAAGGAUGAGUUAAAGAUGUAGAAGCUUAAUGGGUACUGAUUUAACAAGCUGUAAUUCAAACACCUGCGAAUUACCACCCUCCAUGGCAAGAGCGUCUGAAGUCACUAUUAAGGAAAAUUAGUAUCCAUUUAACUGUCACCCAAAUUGGGGAAAAUAUACAGCUCAAAAAUGAUCACACCGAGCCAGGAAUUGGGCCUAAAACAGUGUAUCGGGCUGUUCUGUUUUGACACAUGCCUAAAUUGUUGUGUUUAUAUGGCUCUUAGCUCCAGGAUAGCAUUCAAAUAUAGAUAAAAAAGACAUCCUUCGAUUCAUUAAUUUAAGUAGAUAACAGAUUGCUUUGUGGAUCAGAAUCUACAAAAACUAUAUUCUGAAGAUUAAUUUUAAUUGGAAUGCUUGGGGGGGAAAUAUCGGAACGUGGAGAUAAGCACUUCUGGCCUCUUUUCAGCCUGGGAAAACUGCAGACCUCAGUUGGCACAUGGUUCAGCUCAGAACCACAGAAGUCACACUUGUCCUUUGAAGUUCUCUUAGCAUCCCACCAAAUGGAACCAAGUGAAGCCAAUUCCAAUACAGUGUUUUAUUGAAUUCUCUCAUCUGUGCCACAUCGCACCUCCGAUGUGUUGUCAUUUCUGCAGUCAAUCAACUCAGCUAAGAGUGUCAAAGAUGCUUUUUGAAAAUGUUCUUCUUUUCAUGCCAAGUCUUUGAAUGCUUACGGUCCUGGGUUAGCCUUCUGCUGAUGGGACAAACCAUGACCAGAAGCAACAUCAGAGAGACAGGGGUCUAUUUGGCUUCUACUUCCAGAGAGGAUAGUGCCCAUCAUGGUUGAGAAGGCAUGGUAGAAGGGGGUGAGGCCAAUAGGGCAGUCAGGAAGUAGAGCAAUCAGGAUAUUCACACACAGAGAAAGCAGAUGGAUAGAGAACAGGAAGUAGAGCCCAGUAAGAAACCACCCCCUAGUGACACACUUCCUCCAGUAAGGUCCCACUUCCUACAGGUUCCAUUACCUGCUCUGUACAGCAUCACCAACUGGAGACCAAGUGUCCAAACACAUGAGCCUGAUGGGCAUAUUCUCAUUCAAACCACAAGCAUCAAUGUGAGCAUCCAUUUUUACAGUGCUCCCUAGUCAUUGGUGGCAUUAAGGUACACAUGAGACGUAAUUGUCCUUGGAGUCCAUAAGAGCAAGUGUAUAUUUUGACAGGAGGAUGACAGAGCCAGUCACUGAGUAUUUACCCCCACAGAGUGCGCACUCGUGAAUCAUUUCUCCAGCCUCUCCAGCCACACUGCGCCUAGAAAAUCUCAGGCCCAUUUUAUAGAUAUGGAAGUAGAUCAGUGAGACAAGUGUCUGCCUCUGAGAUAAGUGGCAGAGCCAGGGGGUGUAAGCUGAGACUUCUGCUUGAGCAUGGUCACUGCCGUCCCUGUGGUGAUGUCAUUUGCGGUGUCUCCACUGCUCUCUGCUAGCCAGUGAACACAAGAGAAGACGGAAAGAAAAUAAAAAUGUGUUGAGGAAUAAAUACGGAUCCAGCAUUGUGCAGGGCCCCUAAUAAAUGUUUUAGGUCAUUAGACAAGUCUUGUGCUGUCGGAACACUUUUGAAAAUUCUUUCCCCUUGAAGAGAAGCUUAGGGAAGAAGAACAUCAUUGGAACAACAUAAUGCUUUUUCUAUAAAUGCUUCUAAGCCAGAAACCAUAUUCGUCUUCAAAGUUAAGUCUGGGCAAAAUGCCUCCCAUUCAUCAAUUAUAUCUAAUCUUAUAAAUGAUAAUUUCCCAUUUUAUUUUCACGUGCGAUUGUCUGAUUCAAUCCUCACAAGAACGUCCUGGGGCAGCUAGUGCUUCCCUCUGUUGAUUCCAGAGAUCUGAGGCGCACAGACCUAAGGUCUUGAGUCGUGAAGCUGCUCACUGGCAUACUUCAUAUUCAAACCCACAGUGAUGUCCAAAUCCAUUGUUCCGACCAUUGUUAGAUUCCACAACAGCCACAUAGGACUUUGAAGUGAACAGAAUAUGGGAUUUUCGAGAGGUGAAACUUUCCUCGCUGUCUGAUAGAAUAGGAUAAACAGAUAAAAGGCAUAUUUCUUAGGCUUUCCCGGGCAGUUCUACUCCACCACCUUUUUACGGUUACCAUAAAUCAAUCACUGGAGACAUCUGAACCGGAGCCCCGGAAACAAUGACCUCCCUUUCAGAUCAAGCCUUCCCUCAAACUCCUAGGGAAGUUCUGUGAAGAGGCCUGCCCACUGUGAGCUAGGUCUGCAGUCAGCACACAGUUAGCUGUUCCUCUCAGAAAUGGCAGGGAGAAAGUUCAAAGUGCAGAGAAGUAAAACCACUCCAAAAGAAGGAUGCUUUAAGAAGUCCUGAGACAGGGGCCUGAGCCCUGAGCUAUUGUGGUGGUGCGCUGCUUCCUUGUUUGUUUCUAAAGGUUCUCCAUGAAGUUUUCUUCAUGUAUAAUGGCACCUUGGGGAUAAAUACCUUGAAGCUGAGGGGCGGGACACAAAGGUUCCGAUGUGAGGUCCCAGUCUCUGAACAGACCACAGGCUGUCACCGUUUGGCUAAAGACCCUGAGAUUAAGAAAAAGGAUAGAUUGCACAUCAGUUAUAUCUUUCUCAUAUUGUAGCAUAUGGAACAAUCAAAUUGCAUGGUCUAGCUCACCAGAUUUCCCACCUAGCUAUAAGCCUGUUCUCUGAUAUGAUUUGCUGCAGAUGCCAGUAUUAGAACUCCUCCCUGGUCGCCCUGUGGGUACUGUGUGAUCAUCUCUCACUUGUUGAAAUAGAGCCAAGUCUAGACUCGAGGUACUGCACAGACAAGCGGGAAGUGCUUGUGUCCUGCCGUGGAUUUCAUCGUGUUAAAGCUGGCAUCUUUCUGGUCCUUCUUGUGAAGUUGUACCACUUGCCUGGAAUCUUUAGAGGUGCGACAUUAAAAAAAAUAACGGUAAGAAUCUGGGGUGCUAGCUCAGUUGAUAAAGUGUGAACCAUGAAAGCACCGGGACCUGGGUUCAAGUUUCCAUGUAAAAAGCUGAUAGGUGUAGCAUGCUCCUGGAAUAGCAGUACUGGGAGGCAGACACAGAUCUCUGGACCUCACUGCCAGGAGGUCCAGCUGAACUGUGAGCGGCAGGCUCAGUGUGAGGUCCCACCUCAAUCCCCUGAGAAAGGAGGGAUAGAAGAAGACACCUAACUGUGUCCUCUGUCCUCCAGAUGCAAGCAUGACACACACAUAGCAAGAAUUCCCACCCACAUCCCCCUGGGGCCCUUAACAGAGACUGACACUAUUACUUGUGGAAUUGUGUUUUCAAAAUAAGACCAGAAGCAGCAAAUGGGAUGGCAAAUUUUGUGUGCAUGAUCAUCGGAGGGUGCAACAGCUGCUGCUUUUUAAAGCGGAAAACAAAUUUUGCAAACUGUCCUUUUUCUCCACCCCACCCUCCUCUCCCAGGCAGAGAAAUAUCAAUUCUCAAAAAAAAAAUUCACUUUCAAAAUUGUAUUCAGUAGCAGAACAGAACCUACACAUAGGCAGAAAAAAAUAUCAUAGAAGCACAGAGAUGUGACCUUAAAGCCCUUGGCAAUUUCUGGUCUCCUGGGACCGGAAGGCACAGCCAGUGGCAGGGAGAAGAGGCUCUAUGGAGGAGGAAACAGGACUUCUAAGAUUGCUCACUGCCAUAGAGAUGCACAAGGCUUGCCACUGCUUUGGGAAAGCACCCUCUUUGAUCACUGGCUGCUCUGACCACCUCCCACACUCUCAAGUGACCCCCAGCCAUUGCCCCAGCAUCUUACAGUUCAGAGGGAAGGGGUGGUACCUUCCCCCAUAGCUCUUAUUCUCCUUGUCAAUCACAAGAGCCAUGGCCUGUGAUCUCAGGAUGGGGUGCUGUGCUAUUGCCCAUGGAUGCAGUUUCUCCUGGCUCCCAGCUUUUUAUGGAAAUCAGCCACCACCUUCAGCUCUCUCUCUCUCUUUUGGCAACAAAUCCUUUGACAAAAAAAGUGUGCACCGCCAACCAAACCCUUCAUCAUGUCAGGAAAAUCGGGCUUCUGCUGACAACUUUUUACAGCUUCUUUCCUUUGAAGAUAGAAAGCUGUAAACAAAGGCAGUUCUCUGAGAUACCCAGGCUGUGACUGAAAAUCUAAACAGGCUUUUUUUGGAGGGUCACCCUCUGUUCCCUGGUCAUUGCUCUCAUUCUGAAUAUGGUAUGUUGACUAGCUUUAGCUCCUCCUCCUCCUCCUCCUCCUCCUCUUCCUCCUCCUCCUCCUCUUCCUCUUCCUCCUCCUCCUUCUUCUUCUCUUCAAAGCCUUAAGAGGCAAGCCAGGGAAUCAUGCUCCAUCAUUUGUCUCCCUGUACUGUCCAUUCUUCUAAACCCUGGUUAACACUGAUACUUGAGACCUGAUUACCCUUUCAGUCCACUUCCCUUAUUCAAUUUGGUCCUUGUUAGCAAUGCUGAGCCCCCUCAAAGAGCAUGGCUUCCUUAGCUGUGAUUUCCUAUAUCUCUCUAGAGGUGGAGGAAACAAAACAAAAACAAAAAAAAAAAAAACAAAGAAGAAGAAGAAGAAGAAGAAGAAGAAGAAGAAGAAGAAGAAGAAGAAGAAGAAGAAGAAGAAGAAGAAGAAAAAGAAGGUUGGUUCAGAAACUAAAUUUUAAGAGAAGAAACUUGAGAUGAAGAGAUGGCUCAGUAGUUAAUAGCACUGACUGCUCUUCCAGAGGUCCUGAGUUCAAUUCCUAACAACCACAUGGUAGCUCAUACAACCAUUUGUAAUGGGAUCCUAUGCCCUCUUCUGUGUGUCUAAAGAGAGCAACAGUGUACUUACAUAAAAGAAAUCUUUUAAAGGGGGAAGAAGAGGAAGAAGUAGAGGAGAAGGAGGAGGAGAAGAAAAAGAAAAGGAGGAGGAGGAGGGAGGAGAAAGAAGGAGGAGGAAGGAGGAGGAGGAGAUGAUGAUACCUUAUGGACUACAGAUGUGGCCUUGCAUGCUGGGGUACUUGCCUGUUGUGAAUGAAGCCCUGUGUUCAAACUGUAGCACAGCUAAAAUGGAAGUGUCACAGGCCUGUGGUCCCAGGACUUGGCAGGUACAGGCAGGACAAUCAGAAGUUCAAGGUCAAUAGUGUUCAAGGCCAAUCUGGGCCACAUGAAACCCUUAUAAAAGGAAGGGAAGGGGAGGGAAGGGGAGGGGAGGGGAGGGGAGAGGGAAAGGGAGGGGGAAGGGGAGGGGGAAGAGGGAAGGGAAGGGAAGGGAAGGGGAAGGGGAAGGGGAAGGGGAAGGGAAGGGAAGGGAAGGGGAAGGGGAAGGGGAGGCUGUUUUAGACAGUACAACAGAUGAUGAAACUUUGCAUUUCAGAGGGUGAGGACUGACUGACACAGUCACUGAUAGAAAUACAGCGCUUGACACAGUGUGCCAAGUUAUUUAUUCAGUGGAAUGAAUAAACUGUCAGUGGAAUGAAUAUUGCCGUUGAUCACGAGGACCCUGGCCAAGCUUCUUCAGCACACUCCGCACUGUGGUCUUGUAUGAAGCCAGCUAACCUUCACCACAGCUCUGCAAAAUGGGUGCUGCUGUCUUUACUUUAUAGAUAGAUGCAACAAGGGCCUAUGACAUGCCCAAGGUCACAGAGCUAGAAGCCCCUGGAGCCUAGCAUUCUAUUCACAAGCUUUUAUAAAAAGCACUCACAGGCUCAGUUUAUCCUUUUGAGCCAAAGGGAUGGAGAUGAACUGAAUGUUACACGAGUGAAGGAAGUUAGGGGAGCGACUGCACCCAGAAGGUUUCCACAGCAACCUCUGUCAACCUUGAACAUGGAUUCUACACACAGUCCAUGGACCACGCUGAUUGCUGUCCUCCCGGGGAUAGAGAUGGGGAUCUGAGGACGUGUGUCCUGGAUUUCACAGCUCUGGGCUUCAUGUAUGACAGGCUUGGGAUGCAAGACUGACCCUCAGACAUUUUCAUGGAUAGGAUGGAGUUGAUACAGAAUCAAUACGCACAGAUACAAACUCUCCCUCGGGGCAGAGCUUCUGACAAUCAGGAUGCACACUGUGGUCAGGGCCCCAUGCCAGCUUCCUCGCUGUGAGUGUCUCCACUUCCUGCUUCUCUUAAUGUUCAUCCUUAAUUUGUGGCUGAUCACCUGAAGCGCCACCUUAAGACUUUUCUUUUUGACCUAAGCUGUUAGUCCAGAUCAGCCUCCUGCAGUUUUCCAUGACUAGCUCUGGCCAAGUUCAGAGUUGUAAGUUCUUGAGCUUGCACAACCCCAUCUCCUGUCUCCUGUCACUGAACAGCUUUCUCACUCUCUCCUCCCUGAGGAAGCCUAACUCCUCCUCUUCCUCCUCCUCCUCCUCCUCCUCUUCUUCCUCCUCCAUCACCACUCUUGACAUAUUUUUUAGAACCUUGGCCACCUCUGUCUUCCAUUCAGUAUGUUUAAUUGUUCUCUCCUGGGCUCCCCGCCCCUGCCCGCAUGCUCAGACCACCCCAUGCUAAAAUAAAUCCUCCAAGGGCCAUUUCUUGUUGUUUUGCCCGUCCCUUCACCAGUCAGAGAUCACUCUUCCCCCAUCCCUUGCUUCACUGCCCACUCUUACCUUAGUAAUACAAAGAGAGUCCCGACCCUCACCAUUUUCCUAAAACUGUUGUCUUAGGAAAGUUAUAGGCACCAAAAUAGCUGAGUUCUUUAGCUUUUUUGAGUCCCAACCUGCUUGGAUUCUUGGAAGCAUUUGAUAGGUUAGUAUUAAUGUUUAUUUUGUUGGCAGUCACAUAGCAUAAAGUUUGCCAUGUUGAGUGUCUCCCUCUCCCUCUCCCUCUCCCUCUCCCUCUCCCUCUCCCUCUCCCUCUCCCUCUCCCUCUCCCUCUCUCUCUCUCUCUCUCUCUCUCUCUCUCUCUCUCUCUCUCUCUCUCUCUCUGUGUGUGUGUGUUGGAAUACCUAUAUCUGCUUCCUUGUGUGUUAUUCAGCUGGCAGUAUACCUGCUGGCUUAUGUAUUAAGUCUGUAUUUCCCAUUUUGCAAAACUAACAUGUUUUUCCACAGAAGUUGAACCAUUUUCCAUUUCUAUUAAAUAACUUGACAAUUUGGUUCAUUAAAGUGUUCUCCACUGUGCACGGGGGAUUCCGCUGCCCUUGCUCUCCCCUUUCAGGUACCUGACAAUCACGUCUCUCCAUGUCUAACACCUUGUCUUCUUUGUCUUCUUCUUCAUGUACUGUAUCGAGUACCUAUCAAUAUUCUUUCCUGGUUUUCCUCUUCUGUUUUCUACCUUCUUCAGCAACAUCACCCAACAUACAAGAUCCUUGUAUCUAUCUGUUGGAAUGUCAUUUCCACGUAUAGUCAUAGUCACCUCUCAAAGUUUGCGUGUGUGUGUGUGUGUGUGUGUGUGUGUGCAUGUGUGCAUGUGUUCAUGGGUGCAUGUGUGGUCACUCACUCCCAUGAGUGCCUGAGCUUCAUUUUCUGCGAUACGUUGUUUCUCAAUAUUGGGUCAGAUCUUCCUAGGCACACAGUCUUGGCUCUGUCUUUGGUUCACCAUCACUUGAGAGAUGAUACUGGGCUUCCCUCUAUCUUCUAUGUUUUAUCUUUCCUGAAUAUUUUCUGUUUCAGCACUCAGGUUGUUUUAGACAUCAUCUCCUCCUUUCUGGCAAUGAUGGGGAGUCUUGAGUCUGGCCUCUGUCCUUCCCUUGUGGUGCAUCAACACGUCCAUUAGCGCUAAUUGACUCUUUGCUGUAUAUCUGGGAUCAUGCCAUGUCUUAUUCUCAAGCUAUCAGUUUUCAGGGCCUACUGGGAAGCAUUCAGAGGAACUCUAAACAUCUCUGUCACUGCUCCCAUAACUCGGGCGAUUCUCUCAUCAGAAAAUACUGGUUGUCUUACAUGUUUACUCAAAAUGACAUGGACCCUUCCAUAUCUUCUCCAGGGAUAGAUCAUGUGAGCUGUGUGGAAUUAGAGGAACGAGGAGGUAUGAAUAUAGUUUGGUGGUUGCUCAUGUUUGGAGAAGGGAGAUUGUGCAUAGAAAGCUUAGUAGAUUAAGGGAUUCCUUUUGGAGUGAUAACAAAUAUCGGGAGGUGUGACAUGGAUAGAACCAUUAACUCCUGACUGUUUGCAUUUAUGUGUGUGUGAAUGCACAUGUGUGUGAGUGUGCAAGUGUGUGCGUUUGUGUGUGUACAUGUAUUCUUGUGUGUACAUUUGUGUGUGUGUGUGUGUGUGUGUGUGUAUGUGUAUGUGUGUGUGUGUGUGUGAGAACAGCUUGCAAGAGUCAGUUCUUUCCUAUCACUUGCAUCCUAAAGAUCAAAGUCAGGCCGUCAAGCUUGGUAACAAACUGCUCUACCUACUGAGAUGUCUCUCCAGCCCUUGGCUUAUCAUUUAAUAUUGUAUAAUUUUUAGGAAUCAAAUAGGCCAAGAGGUAUUUAUGGAGUUUCUUUCUUUUCUUCUUUUCUUAAAAAAAUUUUUUUACUCAUCUUUGAAAUAUAUUUCAUACAUUUAUAGCCAUGUUUCUUGAUCAUAGGUACCCAUAGUUUCCUCCCUUUUAACUUCCCCUGGUGCUCCCACCCUACUGUCCUCCCAAUUACCUCUCCUCCUAUUCUUGUAAUUAGCAAUCACCUGAGUCCAAUCAGUGAUGCCCAUAUGUUUAUGAGUGAGAAGCCAUUCACCCGGUCAUCAGCAUCCUACCAGAGUCCAUGUCCCCAAAGGAGAGUGACUCUCCCUCCACCUGCAGCCAUCAACUGCUCUCCUUUUUAAUUCAUAAUUAAUCAUGGUAGAGAUAAGUCAUAAGAAGCACGAUAUACUUGCAGGGCUUUUAAGUGACACAGUUGACCCUGCUUGGACCUAAGAGCUGUGCAGUCUGCAGCUCACCUAGAUGUUCUGCCUCUCGCCUAGGGUAGAUUAACAUCAUCGUGGAAAUCUGGGCUCUUUGGCCAUCUAUGGUGAAAAGUCUUCUGUCAACUUGACACACGAACUAGAGUCAUCUGAAAGGGCAGAAACUCAAUUGAGAAAAUGCCUCCAUAAUAUGUAACUGUAGGGCAUUUUCUUAAAUAGCAGUUGGUGGCAGAGGGUCCAGCCCAUUGUAGGCAGUCCCAUUCCUCAGAUGAUGGCCCUGGGUUCUAUAAGAAAGCAGACUGAGCAAGCCAUGGGGAAGAAGCCAGUAAGAAACAUCCCUCCAUGACCUCUGCAUCAGCUCCUGCCUCCAGGUCCCCGCCCUGCUUGAGUUCCUGUCCUGCCUUCCUUUGAUGUAGAGAGAUAAGCCAGAUAAACCUUUCUCUCUCCCACCUGCUUUGCUCAUGGCAUUUCAUCAGAGCAAUGGUAACCCUAACUAAAGCACCAACUUAGCCAAAUCUUAGCUGGUAUCUUCCUACUAUCAGAUAUUGCUGUCAGGUAUAGCUUGCAAUGACUGUAUUAUUGUUUAUUGAAUUAGCAUGGAUAAAGUAUUCAAAUCACUGGGAAGUCGAAAAUCGAAAAAAA
Molecule: long non-coding RNA, 13677 nt
Organism: Mus musculus (house mouse)
Lineage: Eukaryota; Metazoa; Chordata; Mammalia; Rodentia; Muridae
Product: predicted gene, 53461
Exons: 2
Source: RefSeq, a predicted model, not a curated record